GUAGUGGCGAACGAAAAGGAAGGAGCCCAGCGCAGAACGUUCCGGGGCACUCGCCCUGAGAAUGAAUGUUGCGUUAAGGAUAUUGGCAUACACCCAUGGCAGUUACACUUUGCUAAGUCAGCCUCGAAUGGUUCUCGUGAAGCCGGUAACACGGUGAGACUCCAGGGAGGGUGUUAGACCCGUGUGAAGGUGCAAUCUGCUUGGGCAAGCCGAUAUCCCGAGAGUCGCGUUGUUUGAACAUGCAGCGCUAAGCAGGUCGUAGACUCGAUCUAAGGCUAAAUAUGUCCACAGAACCGAUAGUUAACAAGUACCGUGAGGGAAAGUUGAAAAGCACUCCGUAACGGAGAGUCAAAAGACCGUGAAACCACUCAGAGUAUAAGCCAAUGGUGUCUGGAAGGUCCUGUGCUUACAUCUUGGUGUCAAGGACUCAUGCGAACCUCAGCACUUGCGGGAGCAAUCUCCGUUGCUUUGGUAAGCUUGUCCGCUGAAGCACUCCGUUGACCCACCUGGCUCGUUGUGAGGUGUCCUGAGAGCAAAGCGAAGUGUUAAGAUUGGCUUGGAGUUGGGCGUGGGCGUCUCGAUGCCUUUCGCACUCUCCUUUUCGAGCACUUCUUCAGUUCUAUUCGCACAAAGUGUGGUAGUCUUGGAGUGUGCGCUGCUUGACGCUCUCUGGAACCAUCCUCUGCGACGAAGCUUCAAUGCCUUAGUGAGCGGCCGUCUUCCUCCUCGGGAGUCGGUACAUUGGCGCGGCUUGCACACUGUCGGUGCUCCGCUGUUCAACUCUGGCGCAAGGUGUUACGUCCGAUACCAUUGGUCACGUCUCGAAACACGGGCCAAGGAGUAUAGCGUGUGUGCAAGUCUAAGGGUUCCACAAAACCUGGAGGCGUAGUGAAAGCGAGUUAUGGUGUCUCACUGGACUGAUGGAGAAGGCAGUGAUGCGUGAUCCCGCAAGUCCCGGACUCGUCGUCUGCACUGCUUCGGUUGUGUUAGCGCGAGCACCGCAGAGCACAUACGCUAUGACCCGAAAGAUAGUGAACUAUGCUUGGCGAGGGUGAAGCCCCAGGAAACUGGGGUGGAGGCCCGUAGCCGUUGUGACGUGCAAAUCC
This 1106-nucleotide ribosomal RNA is filed under the name Paracaprella pusilla. RNAcentral describes it as "partial large subunit ribosomal RNA". It matches the Rfam family "Eukaryotic large subunit ribosomal RNA", at positions 83 to 900 of the family's 3401-position model. Lineage: Eukaryota; Metazoa; Arthropoda; Malacostraca; Amphipoda; Caprellidae. The record is from RNAcentral.